UACGAAGGGGGCGAGCGUUGUUCGGAAUUACUGGGCGUAAAGGGCGCGUAGGCGGCCGAUCAAGUCAGAUGUGAAAGUCCUGGGCUUAACCUGGGGACUGCAUUUGAUACUGAUUGGCUUGAAUGCAGGAGAGGAUAGCGGAAUUCCCAGUGUAGAGGUGAAAUUCGUAGAUAUUGGGAAGAACACCGGUGGCGAAGGCGGCUAUCUGGACUGUGAUUGACGCUGAGGCGCGAAGGCCAGGGGAGCAAACGGG
RNAcentral lists this ribosomal RNA (253 nucleotides) under uncultured bacterium. RNAcentral describes it as "partial 16S ribosomal RNA". It matches the Rfam family "Bacterial small subunit ribosomal RNA", at positions 524 to 776 of the family's 1533-position model. The record is from RNAcentral.